This is a long non-coding RNA of Drosophila yakuba, 8746 nucleotides long. RefSeq lists it as uncharacterized. Lineage: Eukaryota; Metazoa; Arthropoda; Insecta; Diptera; Drosophilidae. The record is from RefSeq and is a predicted model, not a curated record. The transcript is spliced from 2 exons.
GGCUGCAAUUGAGGAAAACAGUUGGACACAUGAGACUCAAUUGGUUGUGUAAUUAAAUCAAUUAUUAAUCGCCUGUAACUUUGGCGCUGCCGCGGAGCUGAGCUUUCCAAACGUGCGUCACACCCAUUUCUCUGCCUCAAGACCCGUUUUUAUGCCCAGAGGCAUUACCAACAUCCCGCAUCCGUGACUCAGCAGACCCUGCAGACCCUGCAGACCCCGAGCUGUGAUUCAUACAUUCCAUUAUCUGCCCAUUUGUACGCCAAUGGACUUUUUCUAUGUCCAGAAAUAAUGACGACAUGCAAUCCGAACUCUGAACGGGAAUAAUUGCUCACGUGUCACUUGGUUUUGUCCCAUGGCCCAUUCCUUAUCUCUGAAUCCUCCCACAUAUAUAAAAAUAAAAACUAUAUGACAGCUAAUUAAAUUAAUGUGUAACACCUGGCAUUUCCCUGGGGGCCCUGGAAAUCUAAUUUGGUCACCUCAAAUAUAUCAGUAUAUAAACCACUAAAGCCAAAACAAAGGUCAUGCCGAUUUGCCUUUUUGUGUAGAUAUUAUGAUAGAAAACUAUGUUCAUUUGUGAAAAUUGGUCUUUUAUCUUACGUAAAGCUAUUAAUGAUUUAGAAAGGUUAAAGUUAGUGCAGUACCAAAUGUAUAAAUAGAGUUAUGAGAAACUUGUUCACUGUGAUAUACUGACUUGAUAUUUUCAAAGGCAUAUUGGGCUGUAUUGACUUUUCCCAUUACUUAUGAGCGUAUUAAAUCCAAGUGACACUUUUCCCGUGUUUUCACCAAAUCGAAGGGGGACAAACAGAGGUUAUUUUCCCAUCCAAACCCGAGUGUCAAUGGCAACAGAGGCCGUGGUGCCAGUCACCAGGAAAGGCCCCCUAACACCUAUCCACCCAUUCCCAAAGAAACUUGGUAUCCUUGAUCUACUAACACAUGCCAUCCCCAAAAAAAAGCAUUCGCCAGCGAACUCUGAACCUUGAAAUUUCCAAUUUCCCCCGAAAAAAGUUAACCAACUCGAUUCACUCUCAUUCUUUGGGGCGAACUAAAACGAAAUUGAAUUGCAAAUACUCGCAGUCGUGUAUUGAAAUAGUUUUCGUUGGUUUUUUUUAUUACAUUUUUCUUAUUUUUUUUGUAAGGUAUUUCGAAAUCGUGGGCCAUGUGGCAAACGUGGCAGCAACAACGGCGUUGCAUGCAUACACACAAAGAGUUUUCCGCAUUCGCCGCUAAAAAUAUAUAAACAACAAUGCCCGACCCCGCUACAUUUUCACACAGCUGAAUUUUCCAGCCCGUGCGAAAUCUGAUACCAGAUUUACCCGAGAGCCAUGAGCAAUUAUGAUUAUGAAACCAAACCGGCGUUUAACUUGUCACUCGCAUGUCGCCCGGUUAGCGUUCUGCAUCCUCAGGGGAACGAAGAAAUCCAUAGAUUUGUUUGCUUUUUGAAACAUGAACCGCGCCGAUCUGAACUCUUUGCCAUGCCCCGGGCAUCCAGUUCUAGUUCUUCUUGGGGCUCUGGCCCGGAAAUUACCCUAAACGAAGUUAAUUGUGUGGAUCCGUUUGGCCUACUACCACUUGGAGUGGGGAACACUCCUACGGGCGCGCUGAUGAUGGACUGGCGACAUGAUAUAGUAUUUUAGAGGUCUGGAAAAACGUGUGAAGCGGAGGAUGAAAUUACCAUCUUAGAACACCCUCUGGGAAUGAGUGAGAUCGCUGAUGUCUCGAAAGUAUUUCCACUUUAUAACGCUUCCGAUUCAUAUUAUUCAUCUUAAAAAAUUGGUAAUAGUUUUAUAUCAAUAAAUAAUGAAAUCCUAAAAAUGGCUAACCCUCUGACAAGUCCUAAAAUUUGUAUUUUUGAAUAGAUUUUAACCCUUUUUAUAUAUGCAAUAUUUAAUUAAGGGGUAUUGUUAGCCGCGGAAGGUACAACAAAAGUGUAUUGUGUGACUGUUCUGCUGAGUCAACGGUAAUUGUGGGAUCUAAUAAAUUAUGUUGACUACCGCAAAGCUUAUCUGAAGAAUUUCCUCAGUUUUUCCCAACGACAACAUGCAGAAACGAGAGCAAAAACUAUUUGACCCAAGAUUUCGAAGGGCGAUGAAGUUGGAAAGAGGGGCGCUUGGAAGCAGAAGGCAAAUUAUACCUUUAUUAUUAUGGCUUGCCACAUCUGAUGUUGCAGCUUUGCAUAAAUAUUAUGUUGAAAUGCCUAUGGCAAUGCGGCAACAACAUGCAACAUGUUGCAUGUGCAGCGGCAACAGCUGGCCCAGCAGCUAGCUGCGAAUAAAUUUGUAUCAAGCAACCCUCUCUGCCCACGCCCCUGCAACGCAGUGUUGCAGAAACUUCCGGAAUUGGUGCACAGUGGAAAAAUUAGACGUAUCAUGGUUAAUGUUCUAAUGUGUUUUCCUACUACUUUUUGGGUUUGCAUCUAUACAUUUGGACAUCUAAAAAAGAGAUUUUUCUUAGAGUUACUAUACAGCAAUGAAGUUAGGAAAAAACUUAGACUUCCUGCUUAAAUUAGAGAGCCCUUUACUUAUAACCAGAAACUAAUGUGAGCUACUUUUCAGUGUGUAAUGCUGCUCAAAAGUUGCACGCCAUAGGCGCAACUUAAUUCGAUUUACCCUUGGUUCAGCAAGGGGAAUUAUUGCGGCUGGUCAGAAAGAACCAUUAGAUGAAUUGCAUGCGAUGGCAAUUUUCGGAAUAGUUUCAUGCAUAUGAAAUGUGUUCGAUAUGGGCAGAAAGCUCUUCCCAAUUCCCAGUCGCAUUCGAAUUAAAAAUGUAAAUUGCCACUUGGUCUGCCGCUCCUCACUUGCCACAAAACUGAAAUGUCAACGCUACAUUUUUCAGUGGUUUCCAGACACAAGGACAUGCAUUGAAAUCCUGUUAGCAUUUUCUAUCAGCAAACAUGAUUUGAAUUAUUGCAGACAGCCGAAAAAGCCAAUCGUUGAACUUAAGAGAAAUGAGACAAAAAUGAUGAUGUCUCCAUUAGAGCGGGCUAAUCAGAUUUCCAGUAACAAAAGCUUCAAUUAAUAAACGUCAAUUUGAUGACCCAUAAAAUGGGAAAAUAAAAUCAAAUCCCGAGUCAGAACCAGAGCAAGUUCAAGACAAAGGCCCAAUUUGUUCACCUUCAUCAGCGCCACAUCCAAAUUGAUUUCUAAAUGCCCCUUUACUCCUCCCUUAUAUCACUAUAUGUUUGUGUAUAUAUAUUCCAUAUAUAAAUACCACGGAGCAUUUAUGGGUAAAUGCAAAUUGAAUGUGUCGCAAUCGACUCGGAUACAUUUGUCGAUUUGGGCUCCCAAACUGGGAAUAUCUUUUUUGGGCCGGCGCCAAAUGGCGAGUGCAGAAAGUUCAUGUUAAUUUCAAGGUAAUUGUGGAUUAAUUAUACAUUUAUGUAGUGUUCAUAGCCACUUAUAUGGCUGUAGCUCCAUAAAACACUGUGCCACAUCACUUAAAAGUGAUCUAUAAAAUAAAAUGGUCGCUUAAGCGAUUGCCAAAAAAGAUUACCUCCUUAUGACUUGUAAAAAAGCACAUUUAUCUCACUUUUUAGACUUCUUAGACUUUUCUGACUUUUAUGUGCAUUACGUGGCAGAUAUAGACACGUUCUAAAUCUGGGCUAAUGGUUUCGAUUUCUUUUUGGUCCAAAUUUACAUACCCAGAAAAGAGGGCAUAAAUAUGAUAAGAGAGCCAGCAAACGAAAUAUCAGGUUCAUCAACUUAGACACAGAGUGAGCAUGGCAUUAACCCAUAUAGGAAGAUACUUUGGGAUCCAUGAGAUCGACUAUUGAGCGUAUCUGAAAAGUUCAUUCAAGCCGGAAUUUUCACAUACGAGUAUACGGGGGAAAAGUGAAAUGUGACGGCUUUAUGCUAAGAAGCCUACUUUUGUACCGCUCACAAAGGGGCAUCGUUUGUUUAUGCAAAUGCUUUAUGAUUCGCGGGCCGUGAAAUCCCCUGGAAAAAAACCCAAAAAAAGAAUGGAGAAAAUUGGGAACAAAAUAAGCUGAAACCAGUUUAUGAAAUCUUGAACAGAAAGAAACUUAGGCCCAAAAUUCAUUGAUAUCGCCCGCUCUCAGUUCCUGCUAUCAGAUUCGGUGUGCCACUAUUAAUUUAUAUUGUAAAUAUAUUGUUUAUUAAUACAGCGCUGUACAAAGGUGGGCUUAUCAGCCAGACAAAAAAACAUCGAAUGCGUAUUUAACAAUAUACUAUAUGAGUUGCUGUCGCAUUUGAAUAAGCCGAUGUAUUGCAUAAACAAUCUUGAUAAGCCGAUGAGUCAGGCAAUGUGCACAUUAAAGUCGAACAUCCUUCUAAUUUAAAUAUGUAUAUUUGCGUGCUAUUUUUGACAUUCUAGCACCUCUUCUAGCUUCUGAUUGAUGGGUGCCCACCUCUUUAGACACACGUCUGUCUUUUGAUAAUUGCACCGUGAUUUUACGGACUGCGAUCGCUCGUUAAUUCGUAAAGAAUAUAGAAGUCAAGCGCCUGUUUUGCACAUAAAAGCCGAGAAUUUAACUAAAAUACGAAUUAAUCAGCACUUUGCUCAUACAUUCAGGUAGAAAAAGAAGUCGUUGCGACUGAAAUAAAACUUGUUGGAUUCAAAGUCCUCGAGUUGCGGCAACUUUAAAUAAAUAAAAUAAAUGUUUCACAGUAAAAACCCAACGAAUUGGCUGGUCAAAAAAAAAAGUUAAAUAAAAAGUUAAAAACUUUUCACGGCACAUUAACAAAUUGUUGAGUCGCAAAAAGUUCUGACCAAGUUGAAACUCUCGGAUUUUCAGAUUCUCAGAUUGAGCAAUCAGUCAGUUUGGAAUGUGUGUGGUGACUCAUUUUCGGGAGAAGCCCCUUUUCAGACAGUUUUUGAUUACCCAAAUGGGGUUACAAGCCGCACAAAGCAAAAAAUGACCAAAAAAGAGGCUUCGAGUGCGGCAGCCUUAUGGCUAAAUAAUUACAAGUGAAAAAAACCCACACCUACGAUAUUCGCGAGCAGUUGGGCCAGUAGGCAAGUGGCCAUUAGGUCUUUAGGUGGGCAGUGGCCAACUGGCCAAGUAGCCGCCUCCGAGGUCGUUGACCCCCAAGGAGGACGACCCGGGGGCCUGGAGAUGGCCAUCUCAUAUUCGGACUGCUUACUGGGCAGUUGCCAAAAGCGAAUUGUCAUGGAAAAAUGAUACACAGCAUUAUUUGGCAGGGCCAACAAAAAAGAAAAAAAAACCGAAAAAAACGAAAAGUUUUCCAGCAUAAAUUACCUUUGGCAAAUGUUUGCGCACUUCGGUCGCGAGUUCUCCGUAUUCCUAACUCCGGAUAAACUCAACUGCGACGGGGCGGUCUACUUGACAUGGUUUUCGAGGCGGAAAAAAUCAAAUAAAAUACAAUGGGCUAAACUGUUCUUGCGAGCAUCGUAUUUGCUGGCUAAUUCAUUGUUUACGCAAUGUUUUUGUCGUUCUUGGCUCACUGCGAAGUUGCGUCACGAACUAUGGGAAAAUGUUCGACUAGGUGUGAGAAAUCUCGCUGAGUGAUGGUCGCAAGUGGAAUAAAAGUUUUGCCACUUAUAAAUAGAUGUCAUUCCGAGUCAUCGUGUCCAACGGAUUGACCGAAAUUUCGCAAAGGUGGCCGAAAAUAGAUAUUGUGGAAAUAUUUAGAGAAUCUCUAAUGGCGCUGGUGCAAUGCGAAAAUUUCAGUCCAUACAAUAUAAACAUUCAUUGUGUAUAUUACGAACAUAUUUCGGAAGUUCAUUACAAUUUAGGGAAAACCCCUUAAGUAGUAAGUUUUCCUAGUAUCAAGAGCCCACAAAAUAGCAUCCGCUGUCCAUAUAUACAUAUUCUUAGAAGCCCCCAUUGUUAUCUUUCGAUUUCCUGUUAAUGUUUAUUGGGUAGUCCCGCCAUUGUUUACCUCGUAGUUGUGCUGUACCCCAUGGAUGAAACCCCCAUCUGAACACGCAUCGCCCCCGUUUAACUUCCUUAUAGAGAGAACUCCGCUUCGGCUAUCAGAUGUGCCCGAACUCAAGGUCCCACUCCAGAAAUCCAGAAAUCGGGGAAAUCGAUAAUGUGAGCACACACCGCACCGCACGCAUUUCAAAGUCACAAAAGGUGUGGAUAAGAAUGAGGUUUGCUGGGGGUGGAUUCCUAUCGCGGGGCUCUGAAGGCGGGGAAAAAAGAGCAAUCAACAAAUAUGUGCACUUGCAUAUUUACGUCUGGCUGCGUGUCAAUACUGAAAUGUCUGUGAAUAACAGAGGCAAAUAUGUGUGUAAGUGAUAAAUCGAGCAAUAGGAACCCAAUAGGAACCUUAGUAGGAGGGGUGGUGGUGAAAAUCACGGAAACCACACGCAAAAUGCACACAGCCAGUCAAGUUCAUUGUACACUUGUGUUUAUGAUUACGCUGGUAAUGGAUCCACUAUGGUAUCCAAAGUUCUUGGGCACUGCCAAAGUCAUAAAAUCAUCAAACAAAUGGGUCCGCACCGCGUUAGUCAGCUGCACUGUGAGAAACGGGGUUCAGUUAAGUCAUGCAUAAACUAUUUUUCAGUACAUCAGGAGCCUCCACUGUAAUAAUACUUCAAAUAAUACUGCUAUAAAUGCUAUAUUUAUAUAUUCCCAUUAUUGUUUGAAGCCAUUUGUAAGAAUAUCAUUACUAUAUAAUUAGAAAGUUUGUGUAGAGCAUAAACCAUAUUCACAUAGCAUUUUUUUAUAGUUCGCUUUUAUGCACACACUUCAUAAAAGAUGCAACCAGCUGCGAGCACAGGCACAAUGGAACCCCUCUAUUAAUAUACAACGCACAUACGAGUACAUCGGGGCACACAGAUAUGUACAUGGGGCUAUAUACUCGUAGUUGUGUUUAUAAGUGCGGCUUUAUGGCAGCAAUCACAUUACACAUACGCCAUGUCGGCCGCCGUCGAUUGUCAACUGUCCGCAGUGGGUUAGAGUUCAAUGAUUGCACGAUUCCAUGUCUCCAUGUACAUACGUAUACGAGUAUCUCCGCUACUCCAGUGAUUCUGAUUUUGAAGGAAUCUGCAGUGCAACUACAACUUGCUACUGAUUGGAAGCCAUGCUGCAAGUUAUUUAUGAAUUCAAAUGUAUUCAACUGUUCUAACCGCUCAUGCGCCAUAACUUCCAAUUAAAGGCGUUAUUAAUAUGAAUUUAUAGUGAGUAUUUAUACUUCCGUUUCGAAUUACGAAUUUAACUGCUUAAUCCCAUGGCUUAUAAGCACAUUCAAAUGUCCAUAGUCAUUUAUCAUGGUUUUUGCAUUAGCCAUAAAUCGCUUAAAUGGUGAGAUGCAGUUCAUUCAGUCGAACACUCCCAAACAAAAGGCUCUGCCAAAAUGGAUUUAUCUGUCAUAUAUCACUCUUUUUCUACCUGCUACACAUACGCGCCUUCCGUUAGAUUUUAAUUUCGAACGAGCUUUCAAAACAUUUCCGUUGCCAGAUAUAAUUUGGUGUAUCUCCAGAUAGCAUUAUGCCAAACACGUAGGAACACAAAGCAAAGCGGCAACACGGCCAAAAAUAGCUUAUUAAUCUUUUUGACGAAAUCGGCAGAACGAUACAUUUGAGACGUUACGUUUGCUCUGCGAGAUAAAUGUGUAUAAAUGUGUAUAUUUUUUCCGUUGAAUUUGAAACGUUCUUUGUUAUUCUUGGGGUUAUUCUUAGACGGCCCAGGAUGUUUGCAAAUGCCCAGUGGUUUGAUGUUUGCUUUCGUCUAUGAAUUAUGGUCGCUUGGCAUUUAGCACAGCAUUCGCUGGGGUUCAAGUUCAUCUGGUGAUCUAUAGCCGCGAUGGGGAAACUUCUUGGGGCGACCUUCGCGGCAGACAAAGCGCUAAUCUGCAAUCUGCCAGCUGAGCUCGUGGCUGAGUAAACAAACAAGCAGCUGAGCCAGUAUCUCAAAAUCGAUUUUCUACCCAGUCUCGAGUUGCGCCAGACAAUGGAACCGAAGACCCACUACGGAUACACCCGCAAAAAACGUGCGUAAUGAGUUGAAGAUACAUUUGCCUAUCGGUAUCGUUAACUGUAUCUGUAGCUGUAUCCGUAUCUGCAUCUGUAUCUCUGACCGUUCAGCUGCAGCUUUGACACGCUUCUGAGCACCCUGUAAACACAUAUCGAUUGAGGAGAAAAAGCGAAAAAAUAGAAGAUAGUGUAGCGAAAUAUGUAAGCAUGUCAGAAUCAAGCGACGUGUGUCCAAUACCCAAUGUACAUAUCUUGUAUCUGUAUCUGUAUCUGGUGGCGUGUUUGUUUUUUUCUGCACGGUGCACAGUGAUUAGACACAGGCGGCCGCAAAAUGUUAUGACUGCGAAUAAAACCAGGUUACAAAACGCAGCAGACACAACAUAAAAGAAAUUACGGCUGUCGACACACAUUAUGCUGCCAUAAACUAGCACCAGCAUCCAAUACUACACACCACACACAACACACCACACACCGCACACCACUUCUGGGGGCCGAGGAAAAGCGAGUCUGCGAUUGAUAAAAAGUCAAUUAAGGUGGAUUGCAUUCUUGCCCUCUGGAGUUGGGUUACUCUGGCCAAGGGAUUCUCAUUCAGCGAAAUGUUUGACAGUACACUGAAAACUACCCCGAAUUAUGUUCUAUUUUAUACUAUAAUUUUUCAAAGUGAAACAAUUCCAAUAGAAAGAUACUUAGUUUGGCAUAAUAUAGUGAUAUUUGGCCUAGUUUUAACUUCUAAAAGCGGUAGAUAUUAUAUUAAAAUAGAUAUGUUAAUACCUUGUAAGAAUGUAUUGUUGGUAUGCAUAUGAUUUAAGAUUAUAAUAUGUGAGAAUACAAAUUAAGGAGCUUUAAA